UUGGAGGGCAAGUCUGGUGCCAGCAGCCGCGGUAAUUCCAGCUCCAAUAGCGUAUAUUAAAGUUGUUGCAGUUAAAAAGCUCGUAGUUGAAUUUCGGGGUUCUUCCGUUGGUCAGGCUAACCAGUCUGUACUAGCGUGUAGAAUCUCUACCUACUGGGGAACCAUCAUGUUAUUAAUUUAGCGUGGUGGGAAACCAGGACCUUUACCUUGAAAAAAUUAGAGUGUUCAAAGCAGGCUUACGUCUGAAUACAUUAGCAUGGAAUAAUAAAAUAGGACGGUGGUCCUGUUUUGUUGGUUUCUGAAUCACCGUAAUGAUUAAUAGGGAUAGUUGGGGGCAUUAGUACUCAAUUGUCAGAGGUGAAAUUCUUGGAUUUAUUGAAGACUAACUUCUGCGAAAGCAUUUGCCAAGGAUGUUUUCAUUAAUCAAGAACGAAAGUUAGGGGAUCGAAGACGAUCAGAUACCGUCGUAGUCUUAACCAUAAACUAUGCCGACUAGGGAUCGGACGAUGUUAAAUUUUAUUGACUCGUUCGGCGCCUUACGGGAAAC
Molecule: ribosomal RNA, 547 nt
Filed under: uncultured Glomeromycotina
Lineage: Eukaryota; Fungi; Glomeromycota
Description: SSU rRNA
Rfam family: Eukaryotic small subunit ribosomal RNA
Source: RNAcentral